RNAcentral lists this ribosomal RNA (714 nucleotides) under uncultured bacterium. RNAcentral describes it as "bacterial SSU rRNA". It matches the Rfam family "Bacterial small subunit ribosomal RNA", at positions 8 to 717 of the family's 1533-position model. The record is from RNAcentral.
AGAGUUUGAUCAUGGCUCAGAUUGAACGCUGGCGGCAUGCCUUACACAUGCAAGUCGAACGGCAGCGCGGGAGCAAUCCUGGUGGCGAGUGGCGAACGGGUGAGUAAAGUAUCGGAACGUGCCCAGUCGUGGGGGAUAACGUAGCGAAAGCUACGCUAAUACCGCAUACGAUCUAUGGAUGAAAGCGGGGGAUCGCAAGACCUCGCGCGAUUGGAGCGGCCGAUAUCAGAUUAGGUAGUUGGUGGGGUAAAGGCCUACCAAGCCGACGAUCUGUAGCUGGUCUGAGAGGACGACCAGCCACACUGGGACUGAGACACGGCCCAGACUCCUACGGGAGGCAGCAGUGGGGAAUUUUGGACAAUGGGCGCAAGCCUGAUCCAGCAAUGCCGCGUGCAGGAUGAAGGCCUUCGGGUUGUAAACUGCUUUUGUACGGAGCGAAAAGGCUUCCACUAAUACUGGAGGCUCAUGACGGUACCGUAAGAAUAAGCACCGGCUAACUACGUGCCAGCAGCCGCGGUAAUACGUAGGGUGCAAGCGUUAAUCGGAAUUACUGGGCGUAAAGCGUGCGCAGGCGGUCUUGUAAGACAGGUGUGAAAUCCCCGGGCUUAACCUGGGAACUGCACUUGUGACUGCAAGGCUGGAGCACGGCAGAGGGGGAUGGAAUUCCGCGUGUAGCAGUGAAAUGCGUAGAUAUGCGGAGGAACACCGAUGGCG